CCUACGGGGGGCAGCAGUGGGGAAUAUUGCACAAUGGGCGAAAGCCUGAUGCAGCAACGCCGCGUGAGCGAUGAAGGCCUUCGGGUCGUAAAGCUCUGUCCUCAAGGAAGAUAAUGACGGUACUUGAGGAGGAAGCCCCGGCUAACUACGUGCCAGCAGCCGCGGUAAUACGUAGGGGGCUAGCGUUAUCCGGAAUUACUGGGCGUAAAGGGUGCGUAGGCGGAUUUUUAAGUCAGCGGUAAAAUGUCCGGGCUCAACCCGGGCCGGCCGUUGAAACUGGGGAUCUUGAGUGGGCGAGAAGUAUGCGGAAUGCGUGGUGUAGCGGUGAAAUGCAUAGAUAUCACGCAGAACUCCGAUGGCGAAGGCAGUAUACCGGCGCCCGAUUGACGCUGAGGCACGAAAGCGUGGGGAUCGAACAGGAUUAGAUACCCCAGUAGUC
RNAcentral lists this ribosomal RNA (439 nucleotides) under uncultured bacterium. Its description in RNAcentral is "partial 16S ribosomal RNA". It matches the Rfam family "Bacterial small subunit ribosomal RNA", at positions 338 to 795 of the family's 1533-position model. The record is from RNAcentral.